GGAAUCUCUGAGCCCGUCAGACCCAGAGCAGAGUGACCACAGGCAGGCUGUUUGGCCGCCAGGCUCCCAGAGGAGCGAGCCAAGCAGCGAGGCAGGCGGCGGUUUGACGUGGCAGAGAGCAGCAGCAGAGAGAGGAGUUUCAGAUUACUGCUGAUGUCGGGCACCUGGCAGUGACCAGAGAGCAGCUUUCACAGCACUGCACAAACAGCUUCUCUGAUAAAAACAGGUACUCAAGACUUCCUCGCCCUCAGAUCAGAUCCAGGGUCAGUGGAUCUUCCUCUGUGACUGUCUGAUCAACUCGAUCGCCUGUGCACAAACGGUCACUGAGUGUCUUUCAGAACGGACACCAGGAGCCUGUUGGAGCGAGCCAGACAGGAAACGAUGUGAUGCUCACAGCUUUGUCUGGCCGUACUGAUCAUCGAGCAGACGCCUUCACUGCAAUCCAGUCGACAGUUAAAGGUCAGAACAACAAUCUCUGAGCAGCCACACAGCAGAAAAACUACUGUGGAAAAAUACUCGAGUACACAGGUUCCCUCCACAAAGCCUCAGGAAAUCCACACAUGACAGUGUGGUGUGAUGGACAAUCACCUAAAAAUCCUCCUGCUUUCAUGAUCAGCACGACAAAAGACAAAACAGCUGCUGCCAUCAGUGUAUUACUGAGCGUUUUGUGUCUGAUGAGGCAUCUGCUACAAACUGAGCCCCCUGGAUCGUAUAUCACCUGAAGCAACACACUUCAGCCGAAACAUCACAACGAAAGCAAACGCAACCUCAACGGUCACCAUUUUGAAGACAAAAUCCAGCAUG
This is a long non-coding RNA of Scatophagus argus, 804 nucleotides long. RefSeq lists it as uncharacterized. NCBI's taxonomy places the organism in Eukaryota, Metazoa, Chordata, Actinopteri, Scatophagidae. The record is from RefSeq and is a predicted model, not a curated record. The transcript has 4 exons.